UACGAAGGGGGCUAGCGUUGCUCGGAAUCACUGGGCGUAAAGCGCACGUAGGCGGCUUUCUAAGUCAGGGGUGAAAUCCUGGAGCUCAACUCCAGAACUGCCUUUGAUACUGGGAAGCUCGAGUCCGGGAGAGGUGAGUGGAACUCCGAGUGUAGAGGUGAAAUUCGUAGAUAUUCGGAAGAACACCAGUGGCGAAGGCGGCUCACUGGCCCGGUACUGACGCUGAGGUGCGAAGGCGUGGGGAGCAAACAGG
Molecule: ribosomal RNA, 253 nt
Filed under: uncultured bacterium
Lineage: Bacteria
Description: partial 16S ribosomal RNA
Rfam family: Bacterial small subunit ribosomal RNA
Source: RNAcentral